This 407-nucleotide ribosomal RNA is filed under the name uncultured bacterium. RNAcentral's name for it is "partial 16S ribosomal RNA". It matches the Rfam family "Bacterial small subunit ribosomal RNA", at positions 28 to 526 of the family's 1533-position model. The record is from RNAcentral.
GACGAACGCUGGCGGCGUGCCUAAUACAUGCAAGUCGGCCGCAGUUGCGAACGGGUGAGUAACGCGUAGGUAACUAACUAUUAGAGGGGGAUAACUAUUGGAAACGAUAGCUAAUACCGCAUACUAUUAGAUGGACCUGCGUUGUAUUAGCUAGUAGGUAGGGUAAUGGACUACCUAGGCAACGAUACAUAGCCGACCUGAGAGGGUGGUCGGGCAAAAUGGGACUGAGACACGGCCCAGGACCCGACGGGAGGCAGAAGUAGGGAAACUUUGGCAAUGGGGGGAACGCUGAACGAGCAACGCCGCGUGAGUGAAAAAGGUUUUCGGAACGGAAAGCUCUGUUGUUAAGGAAGCGGUACCUAACCAGAAAGUGACGGCUAACUACGUGCCAGCAGCCGCGGUAAUAC